UCCUAGCCUGUGGUUAUUCUGCCUUAC
This 27-nucleotide non-coding RNA is filed under the name Mus musculus (house mouse). Lineage: Eukaryota; Metazoa; Chordata; Mammalia; Rodentia; Muridae. The record is from RNAcentral.